CAUGGCCGUCGUCAGUUCGUACUGUGAAGCAUCCUGUUAAGUCAGGCAACGAGCGAGACCCACGCCAACAGUUGCCAGCUCGGUCCUCCGGGGAUGGUGGGGACACUGUUGGGACCGCCUCUGCUAAAGAGGAGGAAGGAAUGGGCAACGGUAGGUCAGCAUGCCCCGAAUUAUCUGGGCUACGACGCGGGCUACAAUGGGUGGGACAAUGGGUAUCGACACCGAAAGGUGAAGGCAAUCUCCUAAACCCAUCCGUAGUUCGGAUUGUGGGCUGCAACUCGCCCACAUGAAGCUGGAAUCUGUAGUAAUCGUGUCUCAAAAUGGCACGGUGAAUAUGUCCCUGCUCCUU
This 349-nucleotide ribosomal RNA is filed under the name uncultured Methanomicrobiales archaeon. RNAcentral's name for it is "bacterial SSU rRNA". It matches the Rfam family "Archaeal small subunit ribosomal RNA", at positions 993 to 1338 of the family's 1478-position model. The record is from RNAcentral. Lineage: Archaea; Methanobacteriati; Methanobacteriota; Methanomicrobia; Methanomicrobiales.